This is an RNA transcript of Xiphias gladius (swordfish), 1982 nucleotides long. It is a transcript of the gene named RNA-binding motif, single-stranded-interacting protein 2-like, with no coding region annotated. The record is from RefSeq and is a predicted model, not a curated record. Lineage: Eukaryota; Metazoa; Chordata; Actinopteri; Istiophoriformes; Xiphiidae. The transcript is spliced from 13 exons.
CUGGCAGCCUGGGCUGUGCUCGCCGCUCCGCACAUAGCGCCGAGGAAAAUGCUGCUCUCCGUACCGCCAAGGGCAGGAAUCAACCCAUACAACGGCUAUAACAGCAGAAACAGCAAAAAGCAGGCCUAUGUGUCCUCCGGCCACCAGAUGGCACCCCCCAGUCCCAACAACAACAGUAGCAGCAACAGCAGCAGCGGGGCAGGGGAACAGCUGAGUAAAACAAACCUGUAUAUCCGCGGACUCCAUCCGGGGACCACGGACCAAGACCUGGUCAAACUCUGCCAACCGUAUGGCAAGAUUGUGUCAACCAAGGCCAUCUUGGAUAAAACCACCAACAAAUGUAAAGGGUAUGGCUUUGUGGACUUUGACAGUCCAGCCGCAGCACAGAAAGCUGUUACAGCUCUGAAGUCCAGUGGGGUCCAGGCUCAGAUGGCCAAACAACAAGAGCAGGACCCAACCAACCUCUACAUUUCUAACCUGCCAGUGUCUAUGGAUGAGCAAGAGCUGGAGAGCAUGCUCAAAUCCUUUGGCCAGGUCAUUUCCACACGUAUCCUAAGAGAUGCCAAUGGGACCAGCCGCGGUGUGGGAUUUGCCAGAAUGGAGUCUACAGAGAAGUGCGAGGCCAUAAUCCAGCAUUUCAAUGGGAAAUUCAUCAAGACUCCACCAGGAGUGCCUGUGCCCACAGAGCCCUUAUUAUGUAAGUUUGCAGACGGAGGUCAGAAGAAGAGGCAGAAUCAGGGGAAGUACCUCCAGAAUGGAAGGCCCUGGGCUAGAGAUGGAGACACGGGAGGAAUGACGCUUGCGUAUGACCCCACAGCCUUACAAAAUGGCUUCUACUCCUCACCCUACAGUUUGGCUCCAAACCGAAUGAUCGCCCAGACUUCCCUCUCACCCUACAUGCAUUCUCCUGUCUCAUCCUACCAGGUACACAGCCCGUCCUGGAUGCACCAUCAGUCAUACCUCAUGCAGCCAGCUGGUACAGUUCUUACCCCAACAAUGGAUCACGCUAUGUCCAUCCAGCCCACGUCCAUGAUGGGACCUCUCACCCAGCAGCUAAGCCACCUGUCCCUGGGCAGCACGGGCACAUAUAUUCCGGCCAACACAACUAUGCAGGGGACCUACAUCCCCCAGUACACCCCAGUGCCUCCCUCCAGUGUCCCAGUAGAGGUAUGAAGCUAGCCUCAACCUCAGCUGCCUACAUUUGAACUUUCAUAUAUCCAUUAAGUGGAUGACCAUUGAUUAUAACUCUUCUUGGGACGUAUUUUAUUAAAAAACAAAAAAAAAACAAAAAAAAAAACUGCUGCUAGGUCUCAUUCAUAUGUAUUUUAAAGAGGGUUUAUGUGAUAUUUUAUAACAGCUAGAAGCAGGUGUAGUGGCUCUGGUAAAUCCUGUAAAUGCAGUGUAAUGAUAUUCCGUGAGAGAUUUGGUCUUUAUUAUAUGCCAGAAGGUCGUUUGGUGUAAAAACAGUAUCAUUUGUGUCCUGUUUUGGAAAGAUGAAACACAAGCAUGGGAUGAAUUGUUAAGGUUUUAUGAACCUCAGAUUCACCCUCAUAUUUUUUUGAUUACAAUGCAUCCUUUACUCUUGUAUCACUGAAGCUGCUUUCACACAUGCACUGCAACCCUGAACUUAUCUAGACAUCACCCAGAGGAGUUAUAUGUGUGUGUAAUGCACUCGUCUGAAUCGGUUGAACAGGACAUUAAACGGACUUUAUCCUGGCAGCUCCCUGGUACAAAGUCCGUGUAAUGUCUGACUGAGCCAGUGUAUGAGUAGAGCCGGUUGUUGUCCAGAGAAUUCACAGCGAGCAAGGUGCUGUGUUGACAACGUUUCUAUCCUGCCUCCUGCACGCUCUACCAAAGCUCCACCCCUUGCCUGCUCCAAAACGGGUAUUUCCAGUAGGAGAAUGGCGGUCAACAGCAACAGGUUGCCAUGGAGACUCCUGCAGAACACACAAACUACUCGUACCAACACACCAAGUGAAGCU